This is a long non-coding RNA of Sapajus apella (tufted capuchin), 552 nucleotides long. RefSeq lists it as uncharacterized. The transcript has 3 exons. NCBI's taxonomy places the organism in Eukaryota, Metazoa, Chordata, Mammalia, Primates, Cebidae. The record is from RefSeq and is a predicted model, not a curated record.
UCCUCUUCCAGUUGGUUGGACAAAUGUUGAUACAGUAUCAGCACACUUUACAAGUCUUUUUAUGUAUACCAAACUUAUGAUUGCUAAGUCAGCAUUUAGCCUUCUGGCAUAAAACGGAGUGCGCAUAAAUCUGAAAAUCAUUUUGUUUGUAGGAUCAUACAUAAAGUAUUCUUCCAGAACCUCUUUUUGUGUAAAUGGGUAUAAACAUUCGUCAAAUAUUUCCAAAGUUCUAUCUGCAUCUCUUUUCUUGAUAAGAAAAUAUAUCUCCAAGGCCACAGAUUUUAGUGUCAUUUUAAAAUGGGGGCAGCUGGCUGUGCUGUCAUCAAGGAAAAUUGUUGAACAUGAACUGAAUUUCAAAGAAAAAUGCUCAGUAUAUAUAUGGUUUGUACCACUGUUUUCUCCUAUUUCUUGUGCAUCUGUUUGGGAUUUCUUUGCUUCAGAAGUGUUGGACUCCAAUGCUGUAUCAUCUGCUUGAGAUUUAUUUGCUUCUGGAUGAUCAGAAGGGUUGGACUCCAAAGCCCUAUUAUGCUGGUGGAGUUUUCUUUUCUUCUG